This 842-nucleotide ribosomal RNA is filed under the name Microbacterium sp. ECP27. RNAcentral's name for it is "bacterial SSU rRNA". It matches the Rfam family "Bacterial small subunit ribosomal RNA", at positions 50 to 902 of the family's 1533-position model. Lineage: Bacteria; Bacillati; Actinomycetota; Actinomycetes; Micrococcales; Microbacteriaceae. The record is from RNAcentral.
CUAACAUGCAGUCGAACGGUGAACACGGAGCUUGCUCUGUGGGAUCAGUGGCGAACGGGUGAGUAACACGUGAGCAACCUGCCCCUGACUCUGGGAUAAGCGCUGGAAACGGCGUCUAAUACUGGAUAUGUGACGUGACCGCAUGGUCUGCGUCUGGAAAGAAUUUCGGUUGGGGAUGGGCUCGCGGCCUAUCAGCUUGUUGGUGAGGUAAUGGCUCACCAAGGCGUCGACGGGUAGCCGGCCUGAGAGGGUGACCGGCCACACUGGGACUGAGACACGGCCCAGACUCCUACGGGAGGCAGCAGUGGGGAAUAUUGCACAAUGGGCGCAAGCCUGAUGCAGCAACGCCGCGUGAGGGACGACGGCCUUCGGGUUGUAAACCUCUUUUAGCAGGGAAGAAGCGAAAGUGACGGUACCUGCAGAAAAAGCGCCGGCUAACUACGUGCCAGCAGCCGCGGUAAUACGUAGGGCGCAAGCGUUAUCCGGAAUUAUUGGGCGUAAAGAGCUCGUAGGCGGUUUGUCGCGUCUGCUGUGAAAUCCGGAGGCUCAACCUCCGGCCUGCAGUGGGUACGGGCAGACUAGAGUGCGGUAGGGGAGAUUGGAAUUCCUGGUGUAGCGGUGGAAUGCGCAGAUAUCAGGAGGAACACCGAUGGCGAAGGCAGAUCUCUGGGCCGUAACUGACGCUGAGGAGCGAAAGGGUGGGGAGCAAACAGGCUUAGAUACCCUGGUAGUCCACCCCGUAAACGUUGGGAACUAGUUGUGGGGUCCAUUCCACGGAUUCCGUGACGCAGCUAACGCAUUAAGUUCCCCGCCUGGGGAGUACGGCCGCAAGGCUAAAACUC